CCCAAGUCCCCCUUGUCUCUGAGAUCUGCGUCUCCCCUGGGGAGGGCUGACUCCACCAGCCAGGCACCUAGCAGGGCCCACUUUCGUCCUCGCAGGCAGCGAUCCCACCAGGCCCGACCCCACGGCGGGGGCGGCCUGGGGUCCCACCGGAGUGCCGGGCAGGAGCUCAAGGGGUGACGUGCCUGCCUCAACUCAGGUCUGGGUGCUGGACCCUUGGGGUCCUCGCAGAGAGAGGGGGCCGUGGGGCAGGGGCUGUUGCCGUAUCCCUGAGGCCCAGGCUCAGCCCGGCGGCCAGGGUGGGUCUGGGGGGUUCUCCUUCCCCCGACACCAGGCCCGCGUCCACUCCCGGGGUGCCGUCUGGGUCCCCAGCAGGGACGGAGCAACGGUGGAGGCCCCGCUCGGACUGGGGUCCUCGGGGGCGGAGGGCGGGGGGCGGGACUCUGAGGCCUGGGCGUCUGGCCCCGCCCUGCGACGUACACGUGCGCACGCCCGUGCGUGACGACCACGCCGCCGGCGCUCUCGAGGGGCUGCGCGGACCCGCCUAGACCGCGAGUUGGGGGCCCUUCCUGGGGGUGGGUGGAGCCCGGCCCGAGGCUCGUGCCUUCCCGCAGCUCCGGGGAGCUUUGCCGUGUCCCAGCCCCAGCCCAGACCCCGGCUGCAGCAAACACCGGUGGACCGUGCUGCCCCCCAGCCCGGAGGAUGCGGUUCUCCUGGGGCAGAGAUGGGGCCGGGCCCGUGAAGCCGGGUCCCCAGUAGGCCUGGCCUCCGGCAGCUUCCUGCCCCAGUGUGGCCCCCGCUCGCCUCGACUGGGAGACGACCACAGCGUGGGGUCCCCGGCCGCCCCUCGCAUCCGCCAGGGCCUCCCAGAGCGACACCCGCUCUGGCUACCGGGAAUGCAGGGGAAACGCACACUCAGGACUAAGGAGUGUGGCCCCCACUUUAGAGGAGGAACUGCCCAUACCACUUUCCCCAGAGUCCACGAGACGGUUGCCCAGCUGUGCCGGCCUGCUGCCCAGGCCCCUGCCACCCCCAAGCCCACCCACAGCCCCCUGGGCCUGGAGGGGACCUCAGUUCAGGUGGGUCAGCUGGUGACAUGUGCACUCGCUCUGCUUUGCUGUGUGCAGUGCCCGCCCCACACCAUCCCGUGUGCCUGUCUGCACCAGGUGUCAGGAGGACCCCCAGCAGAGAGCGUAUUACUGCAAGGCAGUGGCAUCCCUGGAAGGUGAAGAGGCAGAGGGAGCCAUGUAGAGCAUGGAUAUGUGUCCACGUGGAACUUGUGUGUCCAUGCAGAGCUUGUGUCCACGUGGAGCUCAUCACCAGCUGGUGUGCCAGCCCUUGGUGCCUGGAAGCACGUGAGUGGUCCUCUCUCUGGACACCUGCACCGGCCACAAGAAAACGUCAGACGAAACUAGAAUGAGAACCACUCUGCGUGAAAGACAGGCCUGGGCAAACGUGUGCAUGUGCAGACAUGCAGGUGCAUGCACAGAUGUGUGUGCAGACAUGUAUGUGCGUGUGCAGACGCAUGUGCAUGCACAGAUGUGCGUGUGCAGACAUGCAUGUGUGUCCACAGACGUGUGUGCAUGUGCAGACGCAUGUGCAUGCACAGAUGUGC
This 1612-nucleotide long non-coding RNA is filed under the name Bos grunniens (domestic yak). RNAcentral's name for it is "lncRNA (ENSBGRG00000019479.1)". Lineage: Eukaryota; Metazoa; Chordata; Mammalia; Artiodactyla; Bovidae. The record is from RNAcentral.